RNAcentral lists this ribosomal RNA (408 nucleotides) under Fusobacteriota bacterium. RNAcentral describes it as "Fusobacteria bacterium partial 16S ribosomal RNA". It matches the Rfam family "Bacterial small subunit ribosomal RNA", at positions 355 to 776 of the family's 1533-position model. The record is from RNAcentral. Lineage: Bacteria; Fusobacteriati; Fusobacteriota.
UGGGGAAUAUUGCACAAUGGACGGAAGUCUGAUGCAGCAACGCCGCGUGCGGGAUGACGGCCUUCGGGUUGUAAACCGCUUUUUCUCAUGACGAAGUUUUUUGACGGUAGUGGGGGAAGAAGCACCGGCUAACUACGUGCCAGCAGCCGCGGUGAUACGUAGGGUGCGAGCGUUGUCCGGAAUUAUUGGGCGUAAAGAGCUUGUAGGCGGUUUGUCGCGUCGAUAGUGCAAACUCAGUGCUUAACGCUGAGCCUGCUGUUGAUACGGGCAGACUAGAGGAAGGUAGGGGAGUAUGGAAUUCCCGGUGGAGCGGUGGAAUGCGCAGAUAUCGGGAGGAACACCGGUGGCGAAGGCGGUUCUCUGGGCCUUUCCUGACGCUGAGAAGCGAAAGCGUGGGGAGCGAACAGG